This is a long non-coding RNA of Hemicordylus capensis (graceful crag lizard), 5984 nucleotides long. RefSeq lists it as uncharacterized. The record is from RefSeq and is a predicted model, not a curated record. NCBI's taxonomy places the organism in Eukaryota, Metazoa, Chordata, Lepidosauria, Squamata, Cordylidae. The transcript has 2 exons.
UGUGCUGGCUGCUGAUAUGUUUCCAGGUGAAAUACAAUGUGCUGGUUAUUACCUAUAAAGCCCUUAAUGGCUUGGGUCCAGGGUAUUUAAGAGUGCCUUCUUUGUCAUGAACCCUGCUGACUGUUACGAUCUUCUGGAGAGGUCUGGUUCGGUUGCCACUGGCUCAUGUGGGGGACACCUGAGACUGAGUUUUAUCUGUGGCUGCCCUGGGGCUUUGGAAUAUGCUCCUGCUGAAAUAAAAGCAUCUCCUUCUCUGUUUGUUUUCAGGAAGACCCUGAAGACUCACUUGUUCUCACAGGCUUUUAAUCAGAAUUGAUUCUAAUAAUUUGUUUUAAUAAUUGUUUUAUGUUACUGUUUUAAUUGUGUUGUAUUUUAAUCUGUGCUGAUUUUUAUUUUAUUUUUUUAAUUUUGUACACUGAUGUGAACAUGGUUCGUCCCUGGGUCUGCUUAGUCAAUCAAACAGACUCAGUGGGAAUCAUUUAGAGGCUUUUAUUGCUACUGCAGUUUAGCAAUAGGUAAUCACUGGGCAUAUGCUCUCAAACCGAUUACAGUUUGGUUACAGGUGCAUCUUACAUUUAUACAAACAAUCUGAAUGAUGCUGACACCCUAGACAUAGUAUACGUGACAAUAAAAUGGUGGUCUAAGUAUCUAAUACGCAUGCGAAUGAUUCAUUGUUCAUCUGGUGAUUACUCCUUAUUUGGUUAAAUCCUGUUUUCUUAACUGUCAGCGAAAAACAGUGGGAACCUUGUGAGCACCAAGUUUCAUAGAUACAAUUUAGUGGAGAGAGAUAAUGAUGUUGAUCAUGAGAGGCAGUGAUGUCCCUGAGCUGGGCUGGGGUUACUUUAAGUUAGAAUGAGGUUUUCUAAGUAAAAUGGAGUUGCUUUGAUUUUCUAAACACAUCACACCACCUACAGAUGUACAUAUCAGGCGGUAUAAAAUAGGAUUGAUUGAUUGAUUGAUUAAAAAUAAGAAAAAUAUUAAUUCUAUAAUACUGAGAGAUUUCUAAUCUAGAAGUAGACCCAGUCUUUCAGGCUCAUAGUAGCAAUGGUAUGGCGUCAGUAUCCUCAUAUGGCUUCAGUUCUCUAGAUUUGUUGCUUUACAGGUAAACCACUUGCAAACUGUUCACACUGGAAUAUAGGUCUCUUAAGCAUCACUGCUGCUUUGCCUCCUUUCCCCCCUCCCAAAACAGCAGGGAAGAUCCAUGUAGUUUGGCAGUCGUCUUCUGCAUGUGUUGCAGAUGCAAAUGUGCAUCUGCAUAUCUCUGUGUUACUGAACUGACAGGAUGCAUCUCAUGAUAUGUGACUUGGUUGCCUCUGAUUACAGUUGUAUUGAGUUCCAGGUCUGAAUGAAAUAGCUUAGCUACAGUUCAGAAUGGAAAAUACUGUGAUCACAUCAUCCCAUGUUUAUGGCUAAAGACAUAAUUUAAGAGGGUUUUUUCCUGCUUUAAAAUAAUACAGAAAACAUAUAGUUUAAAAGCAGACAUGAGUCUCUAUUGACUUCUUUCACUCUCCUGUCUCCUGGUUCUACAAGUUGGUGAAGGCUGCCCCAUAGCGCAAAUGGCAGGGAACAACACUCUUACAAUCUGUUGCUUUGAGAGAACGGCAAGGACUAGUUUGUGCUUCAUUCCCAGCUCAGGUAUCAUAUUUUGGGUCUGGUUUUCUGCAGGGUUGAUGCACAUUAAGGUGACCCCUAGCCAUUCCUGAUUACCUUCUUGCAACCUCUGAUCCUACCUCCUGUUGCAGAUAAAGAGGCUGUUCUCACAAGCUGCCAAGACCGGGCUAGGGCAGCUAAGCCUGGGCUUGGCCGCCCAUGAGAACCGCUGGGAGCUGCAUGGCUCCCAGAGGCAACUUGGGGGCAAACCCGUCUAAGGAGCCUUCCAGUUAGCCGAGGUUAAGGGCAUGAGCGUGCCCUUAAACCAGGCAAACUGUUCAUGUGUCAGCGCUGGCUGCUCCCAGGGGGCUCCUGGCUGUCACCAGAUGAGAUCCCCACAAUGCACCACGCACUGGCGCAGUGCAUUGUGGGAUUUUCCUGGGAGCUGGGAGGACACGCUGCAGGCCCCAAACCUCCACGUUGCCUGGGGCAGCAGUGGCUUGUCUGGGCGUGUGAUCCACAUGCCCAGCAACGCCGAUUGUCUGUGGGGAAGGUAAGCUGCUGCAGCCUCCCCCAUGGCCCACCCUCAAGCACCCUCAAGGAUGAUGAGAAAGGACUCAUAGUCUAAAUCCUUGCCAUAUCCCAACAAUGCUGCCAUCCUUUACUGGAGUCAUUUUAUGCUACUUAUAUAAACUUGUAUGGACCAGAAAUUCACAGAAUAUUUGCUGCAUUCAAGCACAUUUUAUUUUCACUGGCUUACAUGAUGCGCAGCAGUACGACGCUACAGCAAACUGUGUUGGGGCUGCUGUGGACCCAUAAGGUAGCCCCGACACUGAACGGGCAGUUGCAUAAGCAGUGCUGCUGCAAUUUCUCCCAGUCUCCCAAAUGGAAGAAACUUGGUGUGGUUUGCAGUGGUACCAUACCACUACACGUUCUCUUUUAAUGAGCUAAACAACAUUGAUUUUUACCACCAAGAGUCAUCUGCAUGAAUAUUCCUCCAGAAAGACCCAUGGCAUAUUUGAAUUAACGAGUCACAUAUAAUAUCCUACUAGAUGUGUGUAUAUUGUUGGACUACAGCUCCCAUCAUCACCAGCCACAAUGGUUGACGGGAUGGUGGCAGUUGUAGACCGACAACAUCUGGGGACCCAAGCUUGUUUUUUUAAGGGAAUAAACCCCUGGACUCAGAAAACAAGUCUUCAAGAGAUAAACGAGCAAAGAUGAUACAGUCAAUUUAUACUGACUCAAUCAAGGCAGAUUCUGGUACAUAUAUGGACUACGUCUGUACAGCUACAGGUGGACCAACAAUAUUGAGAAGCUAGCAGAGGCUCAAAUCACUUUAAUAGCUCAUGCCUAAAUCCUGGGGCCAGUUGAUGAACUUGUUGUGCUGGAGCACCAUCACAGCUGCCACCACAUCCGAUGCCAUUUUGGUUGGCACAAAGAGGCUUGGGCCAAAUGCUAGGCAAAUUCAAAAUGAACAUGCCCACCCAACACCCAAAUUAAUGGCUUUGAAGAACUGUCAUCAGCUGCGCUUAUGGCUUGUGUUUUCAAAACACCCACUUGAAACCUGUCUCAGCAUUUAAAGGUUGCUUCAGACGUGGAAAGUAAAUCCAUGCAGGAAAGAGGCGGUGAAUUACGUAUUGCCACAGCUCUUUUGCAAUGUUGUACAGGAGCUUAGCUAUAAUUGAGUGGAUGGGUUCAAAGAACCUGGGCCCACCCUCCAAGUUCCACCCAUCCUUAUUUUCUUCAUUAUUUUCCUUACUGCGAGAGGCUGCUGGGGAGAGGGGUGAACACAGGCUCCCUCUCCCCUAGUUAUGCCCCUGACGUUGUACAUGCAUUUCCAUGAACACACAGCAAAACGCUUGAGCACUCAAUGGUCAGACCCAAGAAUUAAAUAUAGCAGUUUUAUCUGUCUGGAAGUGCUUUCUCUGCAGCAUUUCUGUUGCAUUUGAAAUAGGGUUGCCAUAUUCAAGCUUCCCCAAUCUGGGUGGCCUAAUUUGCAUAUUAUGCAAAUCAUGUGGCAACUAAUUUGCAUUUUAUUGACAGAUUUGUAUAUGUUCUCCUCCUUCUCUGCCCUCCCAUGUGAUUGGAUCCAGAGUAAAAUCCGGGCAAUCCGGGGAGCACAUUUGAAAUCCAUGUAAAUCUGGGUAGAAUGUAGCAGCUGGGUGAAGGAGCCAAAAUUUGGGGGCUACCUUAAAUUCUGGGGGACAUGGCAAGGCUAUUUUGAAACCAUCUCAUUUGAACUCGAGGGUAAAGUGCUCUUUCUCUCUUUUGCCCAUUUCACCCCAAUAAUCUCUAAAUGUGUGAAGCUUAUUUGCACGGACAGUCUAAAUCUGCAGGUACUUCUGGACUGAUUCAUUGCCCUUUGUUAUUCAUCCUCCAUUCUUAUCAAGACUUUCAAAGCAAGGGCAGAGAAAUAAAACCAUCUUUCAAGUGAUGCUUCCAGCCUCCCCACCCGAUGAACACCAGAGAGCAAUAAGACUAAACAGCCUUGACUCAGAAUCUUGGUGAAGCAGGGAAAUGCUUGACUAACAAGUAGAAUGUUGCCGUUUCGAAUCCCUGCUGGUACAUUCAGGCAGCAGCAAUAUAAGAAGAUGCUGAAAGGCACCAUCUCAUACUGAGCAGAAGGUAAAUGGUAAGCCCCUCCUGUAUUCUACCAGAGGAAACCACAGGGCUCUGUGGGUACCAGGAGUCGAAAUCAACUUGACGGCACACUUUACCUUCACCUUGUCAUACAGCUUUUCAGUCUCUUUGGCAGCAAAGUGCAAAAAUAUACUGUGAAGCUCAUAAUUUCUGACAGUCUUGAACUGCCUUUUACAGAAUCAGACCAUUGGUCCAUCCAGCUCAGUAUUGUCUAUGCUGACUGACCAUAGCUCUCCAAGAUUUCAGGCAGGAGUCUCUCCAGGUCCUAUCAGGAGAUUCCAGGGAUGGAACCUUGACCUUCUGCAUGCAAGCAGGUGCUCUACCAGUGAGCUAUGGCCCCAUCCCUUAAGCACAGAGAUGCACAACUAUAGCCCUGGACUACAGCUCCCACCAUCCCCAGUCACAGCUGCUCUUAGUGAAGGAUGAUGACACUUGUAGUCCAACAACAGCUGAAGGGAAGCAGCCCUCCCUAAGGGGAAUAGCUUAAGGCAGACAGUGCUCACAUGUAGUCACCCAACCAAAUGCAAACUGAGGCAAACCCUGCUUAGCAAAGGGGACAAUUCUUGCUUGCUCCCGCAGGACCGGCUCUCCACCCUUUCAGCUUGGGUCUGAAACUGCGGCUUUCUAAAGUUUAGGAUGGCUGAUACGAAGGCAAGGAAAGGUUAACUUAAGGAGGCAUAAUGCUAUGCUACGGUGCUGCUGCAAACCUCAAAGGGAGCACCCGAGAUGUGCAAAGGGUGAAUUGUGCAACUAGUGCUUCUACAAGUUUCCCCAUUUCAAACAAUGGAGAGACUUGCAGAAGCACUGCUUCCACAACCAUCUCUUUUGUGAAGCCUCUAUGAUCCCUUUGAAGUCCACAAGAGCCUCACAGUGCAGCAUUACACCUCUCUAAUGCUGGACACCAGGUCAGUCAAUGACAUUCGCACAAAUUUCUAUUUUAAAACAACAGCAGCAUGUCUUUGUGUUGUUACAUUAUUUCCAAGUCUAUAAUAGCUGAUCCAGGCUUCAUGCUCAUGCCAAUGUGCAUAUGGAGCUCUUGUGAUCACAUAUGGAGCUCUUGUGAACGCCGUCUUCCCCAUUUGGUUCAAUGGAGGGGGCACAGGAACAUAGGAAGCUGCAUUAUACUGAGUCAGACCAUUUGGUCAAUCUGGCUCAGUAUUGUCUGCACAGACUGGCAAUGGCUUCUCCAAGGUUGCAGGCAGGAGUCUCUCUCAGCCCUAUCUGGAGAUACCAAAGAAGGAACAUGGAACCUCCUGCAUGCAAGCCUGCAGAUGUUCUUCCCAGAGCAGCCCCAUCCCCUAAAGGGAAUAUUUUAUAGUUUUUACAUUGCAGCAGCCCAGAACCAUUGAAACCAAAAGGAGUUUUAUUACUGACAUCUAUGUGUUGUGGAUUGCAUCCUAUCCACUCCACGUACCACUGGAAAAACUCCUGUGGUUUUAUGAUCUCUAGUGCCCCAAACCCAGCAAUGUUGAGAGUUUUCAGGCCAUGCAACAUGGAGAGGUGAGGAAAUACAUACAAUCUGCCAUUACUUUAUCAGGAUACCCCUCUCUCCAACCUUUUAAAGAUAAGAAUACUAUUGAGUUAACAAGCCUGUUAGAACAUUAGUAUCCUCAUAGAUCUAUCAGUGUAACCAGUCUCAAAACCUCUGCCAUUUUAAUAUAAUGGAUCAUCAGAAUAUGAUAUGCGAAUUUGCUUUCAGGCUUCUGUUUGUAAUGAAAUGUGUUGUAAAAUAAAGGAAUAUUACAAAAUAUUAA